Molecule: ribosomal RNA, 433 nt
Filed under: uncultured bacterium
Lineage: Bacteria
Description: partial 16S ribosomal RNA
Rfam family: Bacterial small subunit ribosomal RNA
Source: RNAcentral
AACGAACGCUGGCGGCAUGCCUAACACAUGCAAGUCGAACGAGACCUUCGGGUCUAGUGGCGCACGGGUGCGUAACGCGGGGGAACCUGCCCUUAGGUUCGGAAUAACUCCCCGAAAGGGGUGCUAAUACCGGAUAAUGUCUUCGGACCAAAGAUUUAUCGCCUUUGGAUGGGCCCGCGUUGGAUUAGCUAGUUGGUAGGGUAAAAGCCUACCAAGGCGACGAUCCAUAGCUGGUCUGAGAGGAUGAUCAGCCACACUGGGACUGAGACACGGCCCAGACUCCUACGGGAAGCAGCAGUGGGGAAUAUUGGACAAUGGGCGAAAGCCUGAUCCAGCAAUGCCGCGUGAGUGAUGAAGGCCUUAGGGUUGUAAAGCUCUUUUACCCGGGAUGAUAAUGACAGUACCGGGAGAAUAAGCUCCGGCUAACUCCGUG